AGAACGAACGCUGGCGGCAUGCCUAAUACAUGCAAGUCGAACGAACUCUUCGGAGUUAGUGGCGCACGGGUGCGUAACGCGUGGGAAUCUGCCCUUGGGUUCGGAAUAACAGUUGGAAACGACUGCUAAUACCGGAUGAUGACGUAAGUCCAAAGAUUUAUCGCCCAAGGAUGAGCCCGCGUAGGAUUAGCUAGUUGGCGGGGUAAAGGCCUACCAAGGCGACGAUCCUUAGCUGGUCUGAGAGGAUGAUCAGCCACACUGGGACUGAGACACGGCCCAGACUCCUACGGGAGGCAGCAGUAGGGAAUAUUGGACAAUGGGCGAAAGCCUGAUCCAGCAAUGCCGCGUGAGUGAUGAAGGCUUAGGUUGUAAAGCUCUUUUACCCGAGAUGAUAAUGACAGUAUCGGAGAAUAAGACCCGGCUAACUCCGUAGCCAGCAGCCGC
RNAcentral lists this ribosomal RNA (444 nucleotides) under uncultured soil bacterium. Its description in RNAcentral is "bacterial SSU rRNA". It matches the Rfam family "Bacterial small subunit ribosomal RNA", at positions 26 to 518 of the family's 1533-position model. The record is from RNAcentral.